GACCCGACUGCGGUAGACAAGUCUGGCUCCAGAACCUGGACACCGCUCAGCCGGCCGCAGCAGGGGUC
Molecule: microRNA precursor, 68 nt
Filed under: Colobus angolensis palliatus
Lineage: Eukaryota; Metazoa; Chordata; Mammalia; Primates; Cercopithecidae
Description: miRNA (ENSCANG00000011425.1)
Source: RNAcentral